AUAUUGCCGUGAUCACCCAUGUUGGUGUCGGUUGUUCUUGGCUGUUGACGGUUCUGUCUUUCUAAUCUUGCGAGUUCAUCGUUGGUCAGUUGAUGUAGUGGUCCUUGUGAACACUUGGAACAAGACACGAUAACAAGCCUUAGAGACAAGAUCUGAUUAGUUCACUUAAUACCCUAAUAUCUACUCUCACUGAUUAGAGAUACAAAGCUCAUUCAAUAUAUGUCAAUUUAUCUCCUAAGCGGUUAGCUAGGUGAUUAAAUCAGAAAUCGAACAUUAAGUGAUCAAUUCAGUGUAAGCCGUAAGAACAAUACGAAUGAAGAACAGUUAAGAUCACUUAUUUGUGUUCAGUUCAUGCGGCUAACACCCUAUAACCCUAAGCAAGCUUAGC
RNAcentral lists this long non-coding RNA (388 nucleotides) under Brassica napus (rape). RNAcentral's name for it is "long non-coding RNA (BNAP_LNC023987)". Lineage: Eukaryota; Viridiplantae; Streptophyta; Magnoliopsida; Brassicales; Brassicaceae. The record is from RNAcentral.